This is a long non-coding RNA of Eptesicus fuscus (big brown bat), 602 nucleotides long. RefSeq lists it as uncharacterized. The record is from RefSeq and is a predicted model, not a curated record. The transcript has 3 exons. NCBI's taxonomy places the organism in Eukaryota, Metazoa, Chordata, Mammalia, Chiroptera, Vespertilionidae.
CAGAUAUAUGGAAAGAGGCCUGGUUUUUGCCAAUAAUAAGCAGUGUGAUUUGGGCAAGUCAUUUCUCCCCACUGAUUGAAAGAGAGUGAAAGGGAAAAGAAGAGACACAGAGAAACAUCCAUGUGCAUGUGCCCCAACCAGGACCAGGAUUUGAGCUGCAACCAAGAUUCCCCAGUUUCAAGCUGGACUGGUUGCUGUUUGGCCUGCUGCACGCUGUCAUCCUUGCUUCCUUUACCAUCAUCCUGGAAUUCCACCUAGCUCCCUCCUGUGAUAGAUGUUUUUUGACAAAGUGGAUAACUCUGAGUAUGAAAGAAGAUGUUGUUGGUUCCUGGCUCUCCCUACAUCAAUCAGGUUCUUGCCAACUCAGCACAAAGGGAUUUACUGGAAGGCUAGAGGGACUCAGACUCAAUGGGAGGCUGGACUAGCAGGAACCAAAGAAGCUCAAAUGUCCCUGGCUGGGUAGCUCAGUUGGUUGGAUGCGCUCAUCCAAUGUGCCAAUGUUGCAGGUUUGAUCCCCAGUCAGGGUACACACAAGAAGCAACCAAUGAGUGCAUAAAUGAGUGGAACAACAAAUAAAUGUUUCUCUUUAUAUCUCUUUUAAA